CUUACACUCCCCCGGGCCCGGGACCCCCGUGUCUGCGAAUUCGCCGUGGCCUCCCUGGGUGCCGGGCCCGGCCCGUACGGAUCCUCCUGGGCCCCGCUACCGGCCUCCCCGCGAGGGUCCCGGCCCCGCUGGCCCUGAGCCCGCCAUGGGAGCGCGCCGUCUCUGCCCCUUCCCUCCCCGGCACCAGCAGGCCCUCUGUCCAGCACAAUCAAUAAACACUUGCUAAAUUAGAGAAGAGGGUCUCCGCCUCGCUUGCCCCUCAGCGCUAGGCUCCGUUCCGAUCCUCUGCCUGUUGUGUUCAGCCAGACUGCACCCAUUCUGCUGGGUAUGAAUACGCUCGGAUUUACAGCCCUGUUUCCAGGCUAAUGGACCUUGAACCCAAAGGAAAAGAUAGAGAAAGUGUCUCUGCAGAAUUCUUCUAAGGAACAGAAAAUACAUAUGGCUGUCUGGUGGACCUAACUAUAAACAUUGCCAUCACAUAAAUGAGAAGAAUUUUACAUGGAUAGAUGCUACUGGAAAUGUCAAUCAAGCCGACCAAUGCAGUGACAAAGAAAGAAAAGGAAAAAAUGCAUCCCCCAGCUACAUGCACAAAGACAAGAACAGUUUCUGCCAUUUUGAAGAUUAAUUUCUACUGAGGAGACUACAACCUGUAAAAGGAAAAUUGAGAUGGAAGGAAAUACCAACAGCUAGUGAGGAGGCUUCAUGAAAUGGGUACCACCUGAGGUGUAAUUUGUAAAAAUCAGCCCUUCUUUUUCCCCAUUGUUUAAUUACUAGCCUCCUAGUUGCCUAGAAGAGUUCAUCUGAUUCCCUAUCCAUUUAACAUUCCCAGAGAGGAGACCUGAGUCCUGGGGAAGAUGGGGCCCAUUAAAUUUGUUAAAACCCACAUGCAGAAAUAUGCACAUGUGCAAAUUUGCAGAUGGUCAAAUGAGUCCUACUCAAGUGUACAGACACAUUUAGAGCUAUCUGGAAUUAUUAGGACUUUUAGCUCUAACUUGAGAUAAGCAGAAUAAACUCUCUACUCAAAUGGGAACUAGUUGUGCUUUUCUAAAUCACCAAGUCAAAGGUCUUGAAGCUAGAUAUUCACAGGUGCUUUCUCAUGGCUUCAUUGUUAGUGUCUGAUGUUUAUGGCAAGUCACAUAAAUAAAAAUGAUGUUUUUAUUUAAAGCUAUAUAUACAUAUAUACUUACACACACAUAUAUAGUUCUUGCCAAAACUGGAGAACCAUUUUGAAACAUUCAAAAUGAAAUGACGUGUCAAAACAAUAAGAAAGUUUAUUAUAAUUAUAAUUAACAUAUAUGCAUAUGUAUAUGCAUAAA
This 1316-nucleotide long non-coding RNA is filed under the name Sarcophilus harrisii (Tasmanian devil). RNAcentral describes it as "lncRNA (ENSSHAG00000025283.1)". Lineage: Eukaryota; Metazoa; Chordata; Mammalia; Dasyuromorphia; Dasyuridae. The record is from RNAcentral.